GACGUAGGGGGCCAGCGUUGCUCGGAAUUACUGGGUGUAAAGGGUUCGUAGGCGGUGUGGCAAGUCGGGAGUGAAAUCUCUGGGCUCAACCCAGAGUCUGCUUCCGAAACUGCUGUGCUUGAGUGUGGGAGAGGUGCGUGGAAUUCCCGGUGUAGCGGUGAAAUGCGUAGAUAUCGGAAGGAACACCUGUGGCGAAAGCGGCGCACGGGACCAUAUCUGACGCUGAGGCGCGAAAGCUAGGGGAGCAAACAGG
RNAcentral lists this ribosomal RNA (253 nucleotides) under uncultured bacterium. Its description in RNAcentral is "partial 16S ribosomal RNA". It matches the Rfam family "Bacterial small subunit ribosomal RNA", at positions 524 to 776 of the family's 1533-position model. The record is from RNAcentral.